Molecule: non-coding RNA, 28 nt
Filed under: Mus musculus (house mouse)
Lineage: Eukaryota; Metazoa; Chordata; Mammalia; Rodentia; Muridae
Source: RNAcentral
UGUGCUUAUACAUCUAUAGUUUUGGAAA